CUCGGCUCUCGCAUCGAUGAAGAACGUAGCGAAAUGCGAUACUUGGUGUGAAUUGCAGAAUCCCGUGUUCCAUCGAGCGAUACUUGGUGUGAAUUGCAGAAUCCCGUGAACCAUCGAGUCUUUGAACGCAAGUUGCGCCCGAAGCCUUCUGGCUGAGGGCACGUCUGCCUGGGCGUCACGCAUCGCGUCGCCCCCCUACCACGACC
This 206-nucleotide ribosomal RNA is filed under the name Bonamia media. Its description in RNAcentral is "5.8S ribosomal RNA". The stretch from base 1 to 178 matches the Rfam family "5.8S ribosomal RNA", at positions 20 to 154 of the family's 154-position model. Rfam says of the family: 5.8S ribosomal RNA (5.8S rRNA) is a component of the large subunit of the eukaryotic ribosome. The record is from RNAcentral. Lineage: Eukaryota; Viridiplantae; Streptophyta; Magnoliopsida; Solanales; Convolvulaceae.